This 74-nucleotide transfer RNA is filed under the name Dryoscopus gambensis. It matches the Rfam family "tRNA". Rfam says of the family: Transfer RNA (tRNA) molecules are approximately 80 nucleotides in length. Their secondary structure includes four short double-helical elements and three loops (D, anti-codon, and T loops). Lineage: Eukaryota; Metazoa; Chordata; Aves; Passeriformes; Malaconotidae. The record is from Rfam by way of RNAcentral. RNAcentral also lists the same sequence under 1 other name.
UAGACGGAAGCCCGAUGGGUUAGGGCAUUUAGCUGUUAACUAGAAGUUUAUGGGAUCGAAGCCCAUCUGUCUAG